GACGAACGCUGGCGGCGUGCCUUACACAUGCAAGUCGAACGGCAGCACGGGGGCAACCCUGGUGGCGAGUGGCGAACGGGUGAGUAAUACAUCGGAACGUGCCCAGUAGUGGGGGAUAGCCCGGCGAAAGCCGGAUUAAUACCGCAUACGACCUACGGGUGAAAGUGGGGGAUCGCAAGACCUCGCGCUAUCGGAGCGGCCGAUGUCAGAUUAGGUUGUUGGUGGGGUAAAAGCCUACCAAGCCGGCGAUCUGUAGCUGGUCUGAGAGGACGACCAGCCACACUGGGACUGAGACACGGCCCAGACUCCUACGGGAGGCAGCAGUGGGGAAUUUUGGACAAUGGGCGCAAGCCUGAUCCAGCCAUGCCGCGUGCGGGAAGAAGGCC
RNAcentral lists this ribosomal RNA (386 nucleotides) under uncultured bacterium. Its description in RNAcentral is "bacterial SSU rRNA". It matches the Rfam family "Bacterial small subunit ribosomal RNA", at positions 28 to 416 of the family's 1533-position model. The record is from RNAcentral.